RNAcentral lists this ribosomal RNA (512 nucleotides) under uncultured bacterium. RNAcentral's name for it is "bacterial SSU rRNA". It matches the Rfam family "Bacterial small subunit ribosomal RNA", at positions 34 to 518 of the family's 1533-position model. The record is from RNAcentral.
CGCUGGCGGCGUGCCUAAUACAUGCAAGUCGAACGGUCUUUUCUAUGGAAGCUUGCUUCCACUGAGAAGAUAGUGGCGAACGGGUGAGUAACACGUGGGUAACCUGCCCAUAAGAGGGGGAUAACAUCCGGAAACGGGUGCUAAUACCGCAUAGUUUUCUUGAUCGCAUGAUCGGGAAAGGAAAGACGGCCUUUGUGCUGUCGCUUAUGGAUGGACCCGCGGCGUAUUAGUUAGUUGGUGAGGUAACGGCUCACCAAGACGAUGAUACGUAGCCGACCUGAGAGGGUGAUCGGCCACAUUGGGACUGAGACACGGCCCAAACUCCUACGGGAGGCAGCAGUAGGGAAUCUUCCGCAAUGGACGAAAGUCUGACGGAGCAACGCCGCGUGAGUGAAGAAAGGUUUUCGGAUCGUAAAACUCUGUUGUCAGAGAAGAACAAGUUGGAGAGUAACUGCUCCAGCCUUGACGGUAUCUGACCAGAAAGCCACGGCUAACUACGUGCCAGCCGCCGC